Molecule: ribosomal RNA, 43 nt
Filed under: Onishia taeanensis
Lineage: Bacteria; Pseudomonadati; Pseudomonadota; Gammaproteobacteria; Oceanospirillales; Halomonadaceae
Description: Halomonas taeanensis 23S rRNA. Bacterial LSU
Source: RNAcentral
CGUUGAGCUAACGUGUACUAAUGGCCCGUGAGGCUUGACCAUA